Dicentrarchus labrax (European seabass) is the source of this 500-nucleotide long non-coding RNA. RefSeq lists it as uncharacterized. The transcript is spliced from 4 exons. The record is from RefSeq and is a predicted model, not a curated record. NCBI's taxonomy places the organism in Eukaryota, Metazoa, Chordata, Actinopteri, Moronidae.
AAUGCCAAGAGUGGUGAGAGUGAACCAAAACAGCAACGCUGCAGGCCGACAAAAUGAGCUGAAACUUGUUAUAAAGCUUGGUAAAGCCCAGCGAACCAACAGACUCAGCGAAGCGAGAGAAAGAUGAUGAACAGAAUAGGAGGAGAGAGAUGGACGAGUGAUGUUCCCAUUACUGCUCUGUUCAUUUGAGCCCUGGAGAGAGGAGACACGACUGGAAGACAGAUGAAAGGCUACCUGAAGGACGACGAUUCAAGAGAUACUGUCAAACCUUUCUGAUUGGCUUGAUACGUGACCACAUACACCAGAGUGUUAGCCGAGUGUGGAUUGCUUUUCAUGAACAAGAAUAUGGAAGAAACCACUGGGGAUGAUGAAGCCGUUCCUAGCCCAGUCACACCCUGACUCCAAUUGACCCCCUAUUCCUCUCCUUGACCCACUUCAUCCCACCGUACACGACCCCCCUCCUAACCUCCCCUCACCAAUAUGAAUAAACUACUUCUGAU